CUGGGCCGGUUCACCCCUCCUUAGGCAACCUGGUGGUCCCCCGCUCCCGGGAGGUCACCAUAUUGAUGCCGAACUCAGUGCGGACACCCGAUCGGCAACCUGGUGGUCCCCCGCUCCCGGGAGGUCACCAUAUUGAUGCCGAACUUAGUGCGGACACCCGAUCGGCAUAGCGCACUACAGCCCAGAACUCCUGGGCUCAAGCGAUCCUCCCACCUCAGCCUCCCGAGUAGCUGGGACUACAGGCACGCGCCACCGCGCCCGGCGGUC
This 267-nucleotide long non-coding RNA is filed under the name Homo sapiens (human). RNAcentral's name for it is "non-protein coding lnc-ARF6-1:2". Lineage: Eukaryota; Metazoa; Chordata; Mammalia; Primates; Hominidae. The record is from RNAcentral.